CAAAACGACUCUCGGCAACGGAUAUGUCGGCUCUCGCAUCGAUGAAGAACGUAGCAAAAUGCGAUACUUGGUGUGCAUUGCAGAAUCCCGUGAACCAUCGAGUCUUUGAACGCAAGUUGCGCCCAAAGCCUUCUGGUUGAGGGCACGUCUGCCUGGG
RNAcentral lists this ribosomal RNA (157 nucleotides) under Clusia uvitana. Its description in RNAcentral is "5.8S ribosomal RNA". It matches the Rfam family "5.8S ribosomal RNA". Rfam says of the family: 5.8S ribosomal RNA (5.8S rRNA) is a component of the large subunit of the eukaryotic ribosome. Lineage: Eukaryota; Viridiplantae; Streptophyta; Magnoliopsida; Malpighiales; Clusiaceae. The record is from RNAcentral.